GAUGAACGCUGGCGGCGUGCCUAACACAUGCAAGUCGAGCGAACGGACGAGAAUCUUGCUUGGCUGAUGUUAGCGGCGGACGGGUGAAUAACAUGUGUAUAACCUACCUAUAAGACUGGGAUAACUACGGGAAAGCGGAUAUAACACCGGAUGAGAUUUUGAACCGCAUGGGGCAUAAGUGAAAGACGGUCGUGCUGUCACUUAUAGAUGGAUCCCCGCUGGAUUAGGUAGUUGGGAAGUUAACUGCUUACCAAGGCUACGAUGCAUAGCCGACCUGAGAGGGUGGUCGGCCACCCUGGAACGGAGACACGGUCCAGAGGCCUACGGGAGGCAGCAGUAGGGAAUCGUGCGCAAUGGGCGGAAGCCUUACGGAGCAACGCCGCGUGUGUGAUGAAGGUCUUCGGAUCGUAAAACUCUGUUAUUGGGGAAGAACAUCUGUGUAAGUAGCUGUGCACAUCUUGACGGUACCUAAUCAGAAAGCCACGGCUAACUACGUG
Molecule: ribosomal RNA, 497 nt
Filed under: uncultured bacterium
Lineage: Bacteria
Description: partial 16S ribosomal RNA
Rfam family: Bacterial small subunit ribosomal RNA
Source: RNAcentral